AUGUUCGUUAGGAACUAUGCACGUUGGCUCCACCGACGACGGAAACCAUCUCUCCUCCUCAAGCUCGAUAUAAAGAAGGCGUUCGACAAUGUGCGAUGGGAUUACAUCUUCGACCUCCUGCAAAAACACGGAUUUCCACCUAGGUUCCGCAAUUGGAUUGUUGCCCUCCCCUCGAGCUUCACAUCUCGGGUACUUCUUAAUGGCAUCCCCGGGGAUCCCAUUAGGCAUGGUCGUGGCCUCCGACAGGGAGACCCGCUCUCCCCGCUACUCUUCGUCCUUGCCAUCGACCCCCUACAACGGGUGCUGCAGUUGGCAACCGAGCAGGGCCUCCAGCAUGACUUGGGUGGCCGUGGGGUGCAAUUCCGGACAUCGCUAUACGCAGACGAUGUGGCAAUCUUUGUCACUCCGAUAAAGGAGGACGUUCAGGUCAUCUCAAAUAUCCUGGAGAGCUUUGGAGUGGUGACCGGACUUGCUGCAAACUUCCAAAAAAAUGCUCGUGGCACCCAUCCGGUGUGA
RNAcentral lists this ribosomal RNA (516 nucleotides) under Triticum aestivum (bread wheat). Its description in RNAcentral is "partial small subunit ribosomal RNA". Lineage: Eukaryota; Viridiplantae; Streptophyta; Magnoliopsida; Poales; Poaceae. The record is from RNAcentral.